This 484-nucleotide ribosomal RNA is filed under the name uncultured bacterium. RNAcentral describes it as "partial 16S ribosomal RNA". It matches the Rfam family "Bacterial small subunit ribosomal RNA", at positions 28 to 523 of the family's 1533-position model. The record is from RNAcentral.
GACGAACGCUGGCGGCGUGCUUAACAUAUGCAAGUCGAACGAUGAACCCGGAGCUUGCUCCGGCGGAUUAGUGGCGAACGGGUGAGUAACACGUGAGUAACCUGCCCUUGACUCUGGGAUAACUGCUAGAAAUGGUAGCUAAUACCGGAUACGACCCUCGGUGGCAUCACCAGGGGGUGGAAAGAAUUUCGGUCAAGGAUGGACUCGCGGCCUAUCAGCUAGUUGGUGAGGUAACGGCUCACCAAGGCGACGACGGGUAGCCGGCCUGAGGGGGUGAGCGGCCACAGUGGGACUGGGACACGGCCCAGACUCCUACGGGAGGCAGCAGUGGGGAAUAUUGCACAAUGGGCGCAAGCCUGAUGCAGCAACGCCGCGUGAGGGAUGACGGCCUUCGGGUUGUGAACCUCUGUUAGUAGGGAAGAAGCGAAAGUGACGGUACCUGCAGAAAAAGCACCGGCUAACUACGUGCCAGCCGCCGCCGUAA